GACGAACGCUUUCGGCGUGCUUAACACAUGCAAGUCGAGCGGAAAGGCCCUGCUUUUGUGGGGUGCUCGAGUGGCGAACGGGUGAGUAACACGUGAGUAACCUGCCCUUGACUUUGGGAUAACUUCAGGAAACUGGGGCUAAUACCGGAUAGGAGCUCCUGCUGCAUGGUGGGGGUUGGAAAGUUUCGGCGGUUGGGGAUGGACUCGCGGCUUAUCAGCUUGUUGGUGGGGUAGUGGCUUACCAAGGCUUUGACGGGUAGCCGGCCUGAGAGGGUGACCGGCCACAUUGGGACUGAGAUACGGCCCAGACUCCUACGGGAGGCAGCAGUGGGGAAUAUUGCACAAUGGGCGGAAGCCUGAUGCAGCAACGCCGCGUGCGGGAUGACGGCCUUCGGGUUGUAAACCGCUUUCGCCUGUGACGAAGCGUGAGUGACGGUAAUGGGUAAAGAAGCACCGGCUAACUACGUGCCAGCAGCCGCGGUGAUACGUAGGGUGCGAGCGUUGUCCGGAUUUAUUGGGCGUAAAGGGCUCGUAGGUGGUUGAUCGCGUCGGAAGUGUAAUCUUGGGGCUUAACCCUGAGCGUGCUUUCGAUACGGGUUGACUUGAGGAAGGUAGGGGAGAAUGGAAUUCCUGGUGGAGCGGUGGAAUGCGCAGAUAUCAGGAGGAACACCAGUGGCGAAGGCGGUUCUCUGGGCCUUUCCUGACGCUGAGGAGCGAAAGCGUGGGGAGCGAACAGGCUUAGAUACCCUGGUAGUCCACGCUGUAAACGGUGGGUACUAGGUGUGGGGUCCAUUCCACGGGUUCCGUGCCGUAGCUAACGCUUUAAGUACCCCGCCUGGGGAGUACGGCCGCAAGGCUAAAACUCAAAGGAAUUGACGGGGCCCCGCACAAGCGGCGGAGCAUGCGGAUUAAUUCGAUGCAACGCGUAGAACCUUACCUGGGUUUGACAUGGAUCGGGAGUGCUCAGAGAUGGGUGUGCCUCUUUUGGGGUCGGUUCACAGGUGGUGCAUGGCUGUCGUCAGCUCGUGUCGUGAGAUGUUGGGUUAAGUCCCGCAACGAGCGCAACCCUUGUUCACUGUUGCCAGCACGUUAUGGUGGGGACUCAGUGGAGACCGCCGGGGUCAACUCGGAGGAAGGUGGGGAUGACGUCAAGUCAUCAUGCCCCUUAUGUCCAGGGCUUCACGCAUGCUACAAUGGCUGGUACAGAGAGUGGCGAGCCUGUGAGGGUGAGCGAAUCUCGGAAAGUCGGUCUCAGUUCGGAUUGGGGUCUGCAACUCGACCUCAUGAAGUCGGAGUCGCUAGUAAUCGCAGAUCAGCAACGCUGCGGUGAAUACGUUCCCGGGGCU
This 1346-nucleotide ribosomal RNA is filed under the name uncultured bacterium. RNAcentral describes it as "partial 16S ribosomal RNA". It matches the Rfam family "Bacterial small subunit ribosomal RNA", at positions 28 to 1381 of the family's 1533-position model. The record is from RNAcentral.